CCUACGGGGGGCAGCAGUGAGGAAUAUUGGUCAAUGGCCGGAAGGCUGAACCAGCCAAGCCGCGUGAAGGACGAAGGUGCCAAGCAUUGUAAACUUCUUUUGUCAAGGGACAAAAUCAGGCUCGAGAGCCUGACCGAGGGUACUUGAAGAAAAAGCAUCGGCUAACUCCGUGCCAGCAGCCGCAGUAAUACGGAGGACGCGAGCGUUAUCCGGAUUUAUUGGGUUUAAAGGGCGUGUAGGCGGGACUGCAAGUCAGAUGUGAAAACCACGGGCUCAACCUGUGGCCUGCAUUUGAAACUGUAGGU
This 305-nucleotide ribosomal RNA is filed under the name uncultured bacterium. Its description in RNAcentral is "bacterial SSU rRNA". It matches the Rfam family "Bacterial small subunit ribosomal RNA", at positions 338 to 640 of the family's 1533-position model. The record is from RNAcentral.